Molecule: ribosomal RNA, 433 nt
Filed under: uncultured bacterium
Lineage: Bacteria
Description: bacterial SSU rRNA
Rfam family: Bacterial small subunit ribosomal RNA
Source: RNAcentral
UGAGGAAUAUUGGUCAAUGGUCGGCAGACUGAACCAGCCAAGUCGCGUGAGGGAAGACGGCCCUACGGGUUGUAAACCUCUUUUGUCGGAGAGUAAAGUACGCUACGUGUAGCGUAUUGCAAGUAUCCGAAGAAAAAGCAUCGGCUAACUCCGUGCCAGCAGCCGCGGUAAUACGGAGGAUGCGAGCGUUAUCCGGAUUUAUUGGGUUUAAAGGGUGCGUAGGCGGGCUGGUAAGUCAGCGGUAAAAAUGCGGUGCUCAACGCCGUAGUGCCGUUGAAACUGCCGGUCUUGAGUGAGCGAGAAGUAUGCGGAAUGCGUGGUGUAGCGGUGAAAUGCAUAGAUAUCACGCAGAACUCCGAUUGCGAAGGCAGCAUACCGGCGCUCAACUGACGCUGAGGCACGAAAGCGUGGGGAUCAAACAGGAUUAGAUACC